Molecule: ribosomal RNA, 1414 nt
Filed under: bacterium
Lineage: Bacteria
Description: bacterial SSU rRNA
Rfam family: Bacterial small subunit ribosomal RNA
Source: RNAcentral
CUACCUGCAGUCGAGCGGUAGCACAGAGAGCUUGCUCUCGGGUGACGAGCGGCGGACGGGUGAGUAAUGUCUGGGAAACUGCCUGAUGGAGGGGGAUAACUACUGGAAACGGUAGCUAAUACCGCAUAAUGUCGCAAGACCAAAGUGGGGGACCUUCGGGCCUCAUGCCAUCAGAUGUGCCCAGAUGGGAUUAGCUAGUAGGUGGGGUAACGGCUCACCUAGGCGACGAUCCCUAGCUGGUCUGAGAGGAUGACCAGCCACACUGGAACUGAGACACGGUCCAGACUCCUACGGGAGGCAGCAGUGGGGAAUAUUGCACAAUGGGCGCAAGCCUGAUGCAGCCAUGCCGCGUGUGUGAAGAAGGCCUUCGGGUUGUAAAGCACUUUCAGCGGGGAGGAAGGCGUUAAGGUUAAUAACCUUGUCGAUUGACGUUACCCGCAGAAGAAGCACCGGCUAACUCCGUGCCAGCAGCCGCGGUAAUACGGAGGGUGCAAGCGUUAAUCGGAAUUACUGGGCGUAAAGCGCACGCAGGCGGUCUGUCAAGUCGGAUGUGAAAUCCCCGGGCUCAACCUGGGAACUGCAUUCGAAACUGGCAGGCUAGAGUCUUGUAGAGGGGGGUAGAAUUCCAGGUGUAGCGGUGAAAUGCGUAGAGAUCUGGAGGAAUACCGGUGGCGAAGGCGGCCCCCUGGACAAAGACUGACGCUCAGGUGCGAAAGCGUGGGGAGCAAACAGGAUUAGAUACCCUGGUAGUCCACGCCGUAAACGAUGUCGAUUUGGAGGUUGUGCCCUUGAGGCGUGGCUUCCGGAGCUAACGCGUUAAAUCGACCGCCUGGGGAGUACGGCCGCAAGGUUAAAACUCAAAUGAAUUGACGGGGGCCCGCACAAGCGGUGGAGCAUGUGGUUUAAUUCGAUGCAACGCGAAGAACCUUACCUGGUCUUGACAUCCACAGAACUUUCCAGAGAUGGAUUGGUGCCUUCGGGAACUGUGAGACAGGUGCUGCAUGGCUGUCGUCAGCUCGUGUUGUGAAAUGUUGGGUUAAGUCCCGCAACGAGCGCAACCCUUAUCCUUUGUUGCCAGCGGUUAGGCCGGGAACUCAAAGGAGACUGCCAGUGAUAAACUGGAGGAAGGUGGGGAUGACGUCAAGUCAUCAUGGCCCUUACGACCAGGGCUACACACGUGCUACAAUGGCAUAUACAAAGAGAAGCGACCUCGCGAGAGCAAGCGGACCUCAUAAAGUAUGUCGUAGUCCGGAUUGGAGUCUGCAACUCGACUCCAUGAAGUCGGAAUCGCUAGUAAUCGUAGAUCAGAAUGCUACGGUGAAUACGUUCCCGGGCCUUGUACACACCGCCCGUCACACCAUGGGAGUGGGUUGCAAAAGAAGUAGGUAGCUUAACCUUCGGGAGGGCGCUACCA